This 253-nucleotide ribosomal RNA is filed under the name uncultured bacterium. RNAcentral describes it as "partial 16S ribosomal RNA". It matches the Rfam family "Bacterial small subunit ribosomal RNA", at positions 524 to 776 of the family's 1533-position model. The record is from RNAcentral.
GACAGAGGGUGCAAACGUUGUUCGGAAUUACUGGGCGUAAAGCGCGUGUAGGCGGCCCUGCAAGUCGGAUGUGAAAUCCCACGGCUCAACCGUGGAAGUGCAUUCGAAACUGCAGGGCUAGAGUCCUGGAGAGGAAGGUGGAAUGCUUGGUGUAGAGGUGAAAUUCGUAGAUAUCAAGCGGAACACCGGUGGCGAAGGCGGCCUUCUGGACAGUGACUGACGCUGAGACGCGAAAGCCAGGGGAGCGAACGGG